GAUGGGCCUGCGGGCCAUUAGCUAGUUGGCGGGGUAAUGGCCCACCAAGGCGAUGAUGGCUAGCUGGUCUGAGAGGAUGGCCAGCCACACUGGGACUGAAACACGGCCCAGACUCCUACGGGAGGCAGCAGUGGGGGAUCUUGCGCAAUGGGCGAAAGCCUGACGCAGCGACGCCGCGUGGGUGAUGAAGGCCUUCGGGUCGUAAAGCCCUGUCGAGGGGGACGAAACGGUACCGACCUAAUACGUCGGUGCCCUGACGGUACCCCUAAAGGAAGCACCGGCUAACUCCGUGCCAGCAGCCGCGGUAAUACGGAGGGUGCGAGCGUUGUUCGGAAUCACUGGGCGUAAAGGGCGUGUAGGCGGUCCGCUAAGUCUGGUGUGAAAGCCCGGGGCUCACCCCCGGAAGGGCACUGGAAACUGACGGACUCGAGUCCCGGAGAGGAGGGUGGAAUUCCCGGUGUAGCGGUGAAAUGCGUAGAUAUCGGGAGG
Molecule: ribosomal RNA, 489 nt
Filed under: uncultured delta proteobacterium
Lineage: Bacteria; Deltaproteobacteria
Description: bacterial SSU rRNA
Rfam family: Bacterial small subunit ribosomal RNA
Source: RNAcentral